GAAAAGAAACCAACAGGGAUUGCCCUAGUAACGGCGAGUGAAGCGGCAACAGCUCAAAUUUGAAAGCUGGCUCCGGCCCGCAUUGUAAUUUGCAGAGGAUGCUUUUGGCGAGGUGCCUUCCGAGUUCCCUGGAACGGGACGCCAUAGAGGGUGAGAGCCCCGUAUGGAUGGACACCAGACCUGUGUAAAGCUCCUUCAACGAGUCGAGUAGUUUGGGAAUGCUGCUCUAAAUGGGAGGUAAAUCUCUUCUAAAGCUAAAUACCGGCCAGAGACCGAUAGCGCACAAGUAGAGUGAUCGAAAGAUGAAAAGCACCUUGAAAAGGGGGUUAAACAGUACGUGAAAUUGUUGAAAGGGAAGCAUUUAUGACCAGACUUGCGCCGGGCAGCUCAUCAGGGGUUCUCCCCUGUGCACUCUGCCCGGCUCAGGCCAGCAUCGGUUCUCGUGGGAGGAUAAGAACAGUGGGAACGUGGCCCCCCUCCGGGGGGGUGUUAUAGCCCAUUGUACGAUACUCUCGUGGGGACCGAGGUUCGCGCUCCGCAAGGAUGCUGGCGUAAUGGUCAUCAAUGACCCGUCUU
This 576-nucleotide ribosomal RNA is filed under the name Cytospora leucostoma. Its description in RNAcentral is "eukaryotic LSU rRNA". It matches the Rfam family "Eukaryotic large subunit ribosomal RNA", at positions 56 to 655 of the family's 3401-position model. The record is from RNAcentral. Lineage: Eukaryota; Fungi; Ascomycota; Sordariomycetes; Diaporthales; Cytosporaceae.